Molecule: non-coding RNA, 1130 nt
Organism: Oncorhynchus mykiss (rainbow trout)
Lineage: Eukaryota; Metazoa; Chordata; Actinopteri; Salmoniformes; Salmonidae
Source: RefSeq, a predicted model, not a curated record
ACUGUUUUCUAUGCUUGUUUUCACUUAAUAUUUGUGGGUGUUGUUGCGCUCAUUGCAGUCAGAAAACAUAUGUUGGCCGAUCAAAACCCUUGCGGGUGAUGUUGCUUUCUCUCCCCAAGUCGUACGAGAAAAUAACGGAAAACUGACCCAAGAUCAGUACUGUAGAUAGGCAACUUCAACACUAUGUAAUGCGGAGCGCGUUCCUAUUUCGUCAACACAAUUGGCUGAAGGGGAGGUUACUUUCUGCGUUGUUCGGUUUAUAUUAGAGUAUCAAAUUAAAUUAAUCUAAGAAACGCUUUUCCUUGCAGUUUGAAUGUAUAUUCGUAUUCUGUGCAUAAUCUGUGUAUGUUGACCUACAACACAAAUGCGCAUCAUGACUUCAACAAAGAAGGCAACUUGGGACCGUACCCGAUCCUCCCAUGCGAUCAUUCUCUUUCCCGCUCCAAAUAAAGACCCUUCACACCUACCACCCUUCUCUUCAGACCACUCAGACCUACACCUACCACCUUUCUAUUCAGACCACUCAGACCUACACCUACGGCUGACACCUUUACUCUCUCUCUCUCUCCAUCCUCUUGAUACAGAUCUCUUGAUCUAUCCUCUGGCUGCAUUUUAAAGUGUCCAGUGCACCAGGGGCAAACGAUUUUCCCUAUUCUCAAGAUUCUUGCCAAUAGAACUUCAAAGACAUUUGUGUUUGUUGCGUAAUAAAGGGUCAGGAGCAGAAAGUGAGGUGGAAGCCAUGCUCUGGAUGUGGCAAUAAAUGGGACGAUGACUAGAUCAAGGCCGAGGACCGCGUUUCUCCAGUUUAACUUCUACUUUAUGCACAAAUGUAUUCCUCACUCUCCCUUCACAUGUAUCCCUGUUAAUCAUAAAUGGUUGGCCAAAUUCGCCAUGAUUUACCAUUGAAACAUUCAUGGAGCAUCACAAUGCCAACCAUUUGAUCUCAAUCAGCUUCAUGAGAAUAUACAUUUAGAUAUUGAUAUAAAGUGAGCUACAAGAGUAUUGCAACAGUGACACAUUUUUGUUGUUGUUUUGGAUCUGUACUCCAGCACUUUGGAUUUGAAAAUAUACAAUGACUAUGAGGUUAAAGUGCAGUCUCAGCUUUAAUUUGAGGGUAUUUUCAUCCAUAU